Micropterus salmoides (largemouth bass) is the source of this 569-nucleotide long non-coding RNA. RefSeq lists it as uncharacterized. The transcript is spliced from 3 exons. The record is from RefSeq and is a predicted model, not a curated record. NCBI's taxonomy places the organism in Eukaryota, Metazoa, Chordata, Actinopteri, Centrarchiformes, Centrarchidae.
GGUAAAAGUAAGGAGACCCCGUGUUUACGUUUGAGUGACAGACAGAUAUCAGCAGCAGCGGCAGGUAUCUGUCGGCAAACGAACAAGAUAAUAAAGAAGACCAUCAUAUUCUUCCCAAGAAGGAUGACGGUGUCGUUCAGGAAAAAAUUUGUUGCAGGACAAGUCCUCCCCUCGGAGACAUGACCUUGUGAGGACUAAUGCGCUCACUGUGGUCUGUCAGUGGGGAGGAAAUGUGUUUCCAGACCUGCCGAGCCUGAUUACCCCGCUGUGACUUUUGCUUCUGUGAAAGGUCCACUCACCUCUGUGUCCCGCUCGGUCAGCUGGGCUCGCCUAUCUGCCUUUUCCCCCUCGCAUCAUCUCCACGGCGCUCCGCCGGUUCCCCUUCGCUCCUAGCCAAUCAGCCUGCCACCACACUCCUUCCCUCCUCUUCCUCUUGCUUCCCUCGGCCCUCUCGCCUGGACCUAUCCUGCCUCGCCAGCUCCUCGGCCCUUCGUGCCCGCGCCUCCCGGUGUCCAACUCUUCUCCUUCUCCAGCCCCUCAGCUCCCCUUUUUUCCCUCAAUAAAUCAGU